This 356-nucleotide ribosomal RNA is filed under the name Streptococcus alactolyticus. Its description in RNAcentral is "bacterial SSU rRNA". It matches the Rfam family "Bacterial small subunit ribosomal RNA", at positions 1095 to 1451 of the family's 1533-position model. The record is from RNAcentral. Lineage: Bacteria; Bacillati; Bacillota; Bacilli; Lactobacillales; Streptococcaceae.
AGCGCAACCCUUAUUGUUAGUUGCCAUCAUUCAGUUGGGCACUCUAGCGAGACUGCCGGUAAUAAACCGGAGGAAGGUGGGGAUGACGUCAAAUCAUCAUGCCCCUUAUGACCUGGGCUACACACGUGCUACAAUGGUUGGUACAACGAGUCGCAAGUCGGUGACGGCAAGCAAAUCUCUUAAAGCCAAUCUCAGUUCGGAUUGUAGGCUGCAACUCGCCUACAUGAAGUCGGAAUCGCUAGUAAUCGCGGAUCAGCACGCCGCGGUGAAUACGUGCCCGGGCCUUGUACACACCGCCCGUCACACCACGAGAGUUUGUAACAACCCGAAGUCGGUGAGGUAACCGUAAGGAGCCA